Molecule: long non-coding RNA, 3093 nt
Organism: Felis catus (domestic cat)
Lineage: Eukaryota; Metazoa; Chordata; Mammalia; Carnivora; Felidae
Exons: 8
Source: RefSeq, a predicted model, not a curated record
UGUGUUCUUUCUCUCAAAUAAAUAAACAUUAAGUGUGUGUAUGUAUGUAUAUAUAUAUAUAUAUACAUACAUACACACACAUACACACAUAUUUAACAUUUAUAUAUGUUCUAUAAGUCUAGGCAGUUAGGCAAAUCCCAGCAUUCUCUCUUGAAAGGCUGCAGUAUGGCAGUGACAAUGGAAAUGGAGAAGAUGGAAUGGAUUCAGAGGGCAUUUAGGAGGUAGAAUCAGUAGGACUUCUUGCCUAAUGUAGAUGGCAAGGAAAAGCAAAGAAUGCAGGAUGAUUGCUAGAUCUCUUGAGUUGACCAGCCUCAUUUACUGAGAGUAAAUUCAAGAUGUGGAGGGGUUUAGUUUGGGUGGAGGCAAGGAGGCAAGACAAAGCAAGAUGAAUGAUGAGUUAAUUUUGUUUUGAGUUUAAGGUGCCAGUGGACUAGCCAGAUGGAGAUGUGAGUCUGGAUGGAGCUUAGAAGAAAUAUAUGAACUGGAGAUCGAUGCUUGGGAGCUGUCAGCAUAUGUAAUGGUAACUGAGGGCGUGAGAAAUGAGAACACAAGAUAGAAGUGUCACUUCGGGGCAGGUGCAGCACAAAAGCUUGGGAAAGAGACAAGCAAUGGCCAGGAGGGAUUUUACAGAGCCUGAGAUUCCGCAACAUUAAGUGAUUGGCCAAGUCCAGAGGCCACCAAGGAGUAGAAUACAGGCCCUGUACCUGCUAACCCUGUACCCAUCCCACUCCAUCACGCCCAAACUAUGAACUGCAGACCUUGUUUAAAAUGACAGGUAAGAGCAAACAAAAACUGGAAAUGAUGCCAGAAGAGGAACUGAAUAUGAGAGAGACUCAAGAGAUUCCCCAGAAUAGAAGUUGCAGAAUUUGGCAGAAUGAUUAGGGUGGACACUUCAGGAAGAAGACUUCGGGUUGUUAGAGAGAAGCUCCCCCACCCCCUAAGCUGAAGAAGAAGCAUCUGCAUGCCCUGCUUCCACCUGGGGACUCCCAGAUUGCCACACAAUAGCACCUCCUAGAGGUGUCGGCAGUGGUGAGACCCGCCCUUCCCAGAGAGACUGUUUUCUGUGCCACUUUGUCUUCCCCUGGUGGUCACGCUGUGUUGUGGCUGCAGCGAAAACCUUUUGUGUGUCAGACAUGAUGGGCAGCGUGGACAAGUCACACUGGUGCCCAACACCUCCCACCACUGAGUACUGUGAGGGCAGAGACUUGGUCUUCUUUGCAACCUAUCUCUACCCCCUCACGUUGAGGAUAUCUGUAUACCCACAAGGACAUACCAUCAGCGUGUAGUAAAUCUUGCUGAAUGACAGACAAAGUGACAUGUUGAGGAAGCAGAUGAUGAAAGUUUCUGACCUUAAAUGUGGACUAAUCAGAUAAGUGUACUAGUGAUACAAGAAAUCACGGAAGACGCUGUGGGAGAAGAACUGAAACUUCUUCUAGAAAAUCCAUUAAUGACCAGAAUAGAUCUCUGACUUUUUUCAUGUGCAUUAGAUAACAACCAUGGAGAAUUGAGAUUCCUCCAUUGUGGCUUCUGCCUUGCCUGCUCCACCAAAAUCGCUCUCUCCAAGCUAACCAGGAACCUGCAGCUUGCCACACCGGGGGCAUUUCUGCCUCUUCUUACUGGCACGCUCCUCAUGGGACCAGCUGAGCAUCCUUCUCUUGUACGUGAAAGAAAAUCCAACUGAUUGUAGCGAGAAGACCUUUUAGUUCCUCCAGAGAGGGAUCUUCCAGAUGCCUCUGGGGGCUAUAGAUGGCCAGCUGAGGCCCAUCUCCGAACCAGGCAGGAGAAAGCAGCCAGGGACCGCCUGGUUCUGAAGGAUUGUAUUCCCACAGAACAUCAGAAAAUAGAAAUUCUGCAUUUUUCAGUGACACCCAAUUUGCUCUACAAAAAGUAAAGCAUGAAGAUGAACAGAUUGAAGCAAGGAGAAGUAACCUGCCCAAAUUCACACAGCUCAACUAGGUGUCCUGAGUCGCAGCUGUUGACCACUGUGCCAUAUGCCAAGUUGCAACAUCUUUGUACAUCACGAACUUGUUAAAGACCUGUCCACCUACUUCAAAGGAAACUCAUGAUAUUAAAACACAGAGGAGUUCCUGUCUCUCCCUCUCUCUCUCCGCACACACACACAUCCACACACACACACAGCGAAUUAAAAGGAACAGAGAGAACUGUGUAGACCGGAAGUUUGAGAUGAGUUUUUUUUCCCCCCAUUGGAGCACAAAAUUUGCUCUGAUUUCCUGGCAACUAAUGAAAACAAAAGUGAAAUGUUAGAUUAUAUGGUUCUCAUUGUUUUGUAGAGCAAGCAUGCAAAUUAUUUUGCAGAGAAAAGUUUUUGGCAACUGAAUUCUAGAAGCAAUUUCUAGAAUUCUAAUAAAAGAAUUCUAUAUUAAGGUUUUUUAAAAAUCUUUUUUAUUGUGAAAUGUAAUACUCAGAAAAAUACAUUAACAUAAAUGUACAGCUGACUGAAUUGUUGGAAAGAGAGACACCACCUCCCCCCACCCUGGUCAAGAAAUAGAAGCUUCACAGCCCCAAAGAAGCUCUCCUUGCCCACAAACAUGACCAUUAUCAUAAUUUUUAUGACAAUCAUCUCUUUGCUUAUUUUUUUUUUACAGUUAUACUACCUAAAUAGCACACACACUGUAUUUUUGCCUUUUUUUUUUUUUUUUUUAUCUUGAUAUGAUUAGAAUCACACAUUAUUCUUUUUGGCUUCUGUUCAACUUUGUGUCCGUGAGAUUCAUCCAAAUUGGUCUGUGUAGCUACAUUCAUUUUUAUCGCACUAUGGUACUUGACUGUACUUGGCUGGAUGACAUUUAGGACCCUCCCACAAUUUGGCUACUCAUUAGCUGGUGGACAUUUGGGUUAUUUGGGUUGUUGGCUACUAUGGAGAAUGCUGCUGUGAGCACUCUCAUGUGUGUCUCCUGACUGAAGUGUGUGCAUGUAUCAGCCGGGUCACAGGGCGAACAUAGAGGAUGUUUUUGUAGAGGAUGCCUAGUGGUCUUCCCAAAUGGUUGUACCAUUUAAACCACUGCUAGUAACGUAUGAAAGUUUUCUAAAUUCUUUUUUUUUUUUAAUUUUAUUUAAUGUUUAUUUAUUUUUGAG